This is a long non-coding RNA of Neofelis nebulosa (Clouded leopard), 549 nucleotides long. RefSeq lists it as uncharacterized. NCBI's taxonomy places the organism in Eukaryota, Metazoa, Chordata, Mammalia, Carnivora, Felidae. The record is from RefSeq and is a predicted model, not a curated record. The transcript has 3 exons.
CUAUGUAAAGUAAGCAAGCUCAAGACCUAUCAAUAUUCUUUGUUCUACCCAUAAACUGAAAACUAUAGAAAUUCCUGACAAGAAACAGGAAUUUACCAUGGGUUUUAAUAAGUUGUUCCAGCUAAAACAGAACGAGACAAAAAGUUUGUGCUAGAGGCAGCUGAGAAGCAAGCAGAACUGAUAGACCCCUUGGAACAGGGCUCACCACUAAAGUCCCCUCAAAGAGGUUCAUAUUCACAGAAUGCAGCUGACCUUGUACCUGAGGAUGGGGCCACUCAAAACCUAAAUACACUGGAAGAAAAGCCAAAGACAGUUUUGUGGAGACUCCGUGAGUCCAAUAGGAGUGCAGAAAACAUUAAUUACAGAUCAAAGAAGAGAUCAAAGAUAGAACACAACCAGUACCCAAGAAGCCCCCAGUCUCUCUCUCUCUCUCUCUCUCUCUCUCUCUCUCUCUCUCUCUCUCAUGCCAAAGGAAGCUACCGUACCCUCCCAUCAUCAGUUACUUUUGCCUGCUUUGGAACAUACUAUAAAUGGCAUCAUGAAACAUUA